This 641-nucleotide small RNA is filed under the name Orobanche anatolica. RNAcentral's name for it is "eukaryotic LSU rRNA". The stretch from base 264 to 419 matches the Rfam family "5.8S ribosomal RNA". The record is from RNAcentral. Lineage: Eukaryota; Viridiplantae; Streptophyta; Magnoliopsida; Lamiales; Orobanchaceae.
GUCGUAACAAGGUUUCCGUAGGUGAACCUGCGGAAGGAUCAUUGUUGAUACCUCUAAAAUAGACCGUGAACAUGUUCACCAAAUGGGAUUGUGGCGGUCACGUCGCAAUCCACUCCCGCAUGCGUGCAUCUAGGUGCGUGUUGUGCGGGCUAACAAACCCCGGCGCGGCAUGCGCCAAGGAGAACUCACAGAAGCAUCCUCCUUCCUCCACACCAUUUGUGGUGCGUGGCGGUGGGCUAAGGAUGUCUCUCGAAUGUCAAAAUGACUCUCGGCAACGGAUAUCUCGGCUCUCGCAUCGAUGAAGAACGUAGCGAAAUGCGAUACUUGGUGUGAAUUGCAGAAUCCCGUGAACCAUCGAGUCUUUGAACGCAAGUUGCGCCCGAAGCCUUCUGGUUAAGGGCACGUCUGCCUGGGCGUCACACAUUGCGUCGCCCCCUCAUCCUUAUGGGGUGGGGGCGGAAAAUGACCUCCCGUGCGCCGUGAUGUGCGGUUGGUGCAAAUUUGAACCCGCGGCGACUCACGUCACGACCAGUGGUGGUUGAACAAUCAACUCGCGUACAGUCGUGUCACAUGAUGUUGCUUGUCGGGGCAUGUUGUAGACCCAAUGGCGCAAGUUGCUUGUGCUAUCGAUCGCGACCCCA